Molecule: long non-coding RNA, 643 nt
Organism: Cylas formicarius (sweet potato weevil)
Lineage: Eukaryota; Metazoa; Arthropoda; Insecta; Coleoptera; Brentidae
Exons: 3
Source: RefSeq, a predicted model, not a curated record
GCUGUAAGAUCUCUUUUGAAGAAUAUUAAAUAUAAAGCCAAAAGUAUAGGUAGGUAGGUAUAAGAAAAAAAUUAUAUUAAUCUUUUUUUCCACCUGUUUUUAGAUAAUUAGGCAUUUUUUAAUCAGGCAUUUUCAGUUAGUGCGCAUGUGCAAAAGGUUCCGUGCAUGGUACCUUUACUUCUAGGCAGACUAGAGUCGGUCGGUCUCUGAGUCGCAAACAUAAGCGCAGUAGACUGUCGCGUAGAAUAUCGCGAUAAUUUGCUAGUCAUCUUCAGACGUUUUAUUUUACCGACAAAUUAUGUUAGUGAACAAUAACAUGGUCCUUUGGCGGAUGUUUUUUUUUAAUCCAACGAAUCACAUCAAAGUAACCAAAACGACGAGAACUGAAGCAGCGGCUCAAAACACCUGCAAGGUAUAUACAGCGGCUCGAGCGGCGAUCCAGGAGACAGAAACAGACGUAGACGGUGCCGACGCUACAAAAAAACACCAGAUCAAGUCAUCAAAUAAUCCAGGAACCGCAAUUGCAAAAGAUACUGUCGGCGACGAAGCGACUAUUUGAAUUACAAACGAGUACACUCUGUGAAUCUUCUUCUUAUAAUUGGGAAGAUCUUCAGUAUCAAGCCUCCAGAUUCCAAUCAGCAUC